GCACAAGCGGAGGAACAUGUGGUUAAUUCGAUGAUACGCGAGGAACCUUACCUGGGCUUAAAUGUAGAGCGACAGAUCGGGAAACUGGUCCUUCUUCGGACGAUCUACAAGGUGCUGCAUGGUUGUCGUCAGCUCGUGCCGUGAGGUGUCGGGUUAAGUCCCAUAACGAGCGCAACCCUUAUCGUUAGUUGCCAGCGGGUAAUGCCGGGGACUCUAACGAAACUGCCGGUGUAAACCGUGAGGAAGGUGGGGAUGACGUCAAAUCAGCACGGCCCUUAUGUCCAGGGCGACACACGUGUUACAAUGGCCGGUACAGAGGGCAGCUACCUGGUGACAGGAUGCAAAUCUCCAAAACCGGUCUCAGUUCGGAUCGAAGUCUGCAACUCGACUUCGUGAAGCUGGAUUCGCUAGUAAUCGCGCAUCAGCCAUGGCGCGGUGAAUACGUUCCCGGGCCUU
Molecule: ribosomal RNA, 456 nt
Filed under: uncultured Sphingobacteriales bacterium
Lineage: Bacteria; Pseudomonadati; Bacteroidota; Sphingobacteriia; Sphingobacteriales
Description: bacterial SSU rRNA
Rfam family: Bacterial small subunit ribosomal RNA
Source: RNAcentral